Dermacentor albipictus is the source of this 702-nucleotide non-coding RNA. Lineage: Eukaryota; Metazoa; Arthropoda; Arachnida; Ixodida; Ixodidae. The record is from RefSeq and is a predicted model, not a curated record.
AGUCAAAAAAGAAAAGCUGCUGAACAAUCCCUCAGCCUGCUCAGUUAAACCAAGACACGCGAGGCACCGGACAACCGGCCACCAAACCUAUGCCUAACUUAGAACCGCCACCCAAUGCAAUACAAACAAAAUACGUUGAGGCACCGAGUGGCGCUACCAACGUUACUCCUCCUCCGCAGAUUUUUGCGACUGUACAGCAGCGCCAGCACAUAUGUUUUUUUUUCUUCUAAUCCACACAAGCAGACCUUCGCUUGAAUGCGGACCGCGAACUGUCGCGAGAGGGAGAUUUCAACUUAAUGUUCAAGACAUUUCAACACGAACGAUGCGGGCACUUUAUUAAAUGCAACGUUUUCAUGUAGGUAACGGUGCGUGCGAACGACUUGAAAGUCAGGCUGUUAACACACUGCGUCAGCUUAUGGACACUACUCCGAGGCACGUGUUGUAGCACCGCAAUGCUCACCGACCACUGCAGAAACUGAGCCACCACAUGUAUCGGAGCUUUCCUCUUGAACUUUGAGUGACAUCGUCCAAGUCUGCAACUUGCAACAUUGCGAGUAGAGCUAUGAACCGGCGUCGCCGCAUGAUCCCUGGUGGGAGCAGACCGCUGUACAGAUCUCCUACGUUCCAAUACAGCUUCAGCCGAGGAACCUUCACAACGCCCAUGUAAAUUACGAGUCCGAUAAACUUUAGCAUUUCACUUGG